RNAcentral lists this ribosomal RNA (1453 nucleotides) under metagenome. Its description in RNAcentral is "bacterial LSU rRNA". It matches the Rfam family "Bacterial large subunit ribosomal RNA", at positions 1476 to 2912 of the family's 2925-position model. The record is from RNAcentral.
AGGAUGGUAGACAGGCCGGUUUUUGGAAUCCGGUGCAAGUGCGUAGGCGUGCUCCGCAGGCAAAUCCGCGGAGAUGAGCCGAGACACGAGUCCGUGGGCGUAAGCCCUGAAGCUGUUGAGCCACGGCUGCCAAGAAAAGCUUCUAAGUUUAGAUCGCGCGAACCGUACCGCAAACCAACUCAGGUGGAUGGGAUGAAUAAUCCAAGGCGCUCGAGAGAACUCUGGCCAAGGAACUCGGCAAAUUGACCCCGUACCUUCGGAAUAAGGGGUGCUCCCCACGGUAAGACAAAUACUUGUUCAGCCCCGGGGAGCCGCAGAGAAAUGGUGGUGGCGACUGUUUACUAAAAACAUAGGUCUGUGCGAAGUCCUACAGACGACGUAUACGGACUGACGCCUGCCCGGUGCCGGAAGGUUAAAAGGAGGAGUCAGCGCAAGCGAAGCUCCGAUUUGAAGCCCCGGUAAACGGCGGCCGUAACGAUAACGGUCCUAAGGUAGCGAAAUUCCUUGUCGGGCAAGUUCCGACCUGCACGAAUGGCGUAACGAUCUCCACGCUGUCUCGGCCAGAGACUCGGUGAAAUUGAAGUCGCGGUGAAAAUGCCGUGUACCCGCAGAAAGACGGAAAGACCCUGUGCACCUCUACUAUAGCUUGACAUUGGGUUUUGAACCUGCAUGUGUAGGAUAGGUGGGAGGCUGUGAAAGCUGUACGCCAGUAUGGCCGGAGCCACCCGUGAAAUACCACCCUUGUUUGUUCAGGACCCUAACUCGCAGCUGUAAUCCAGCGCGAAGACAGUGUCUGGUGGGUAGUUUGACUGGGGCGGUCGCCUCCUAAAGAGUAACGGAGGCAUGCAAAGGUUCCCUCAGGCUGAUUGGAAACCAGCCGUUGAGUGCAAGCGCAUAAGGGAGCCUGACUGCAAGAGAGACAUCUCGAACAGAUACGAAAGUAGGUGCUAGUGAUCCGGUGGUCCCGAAUGGAAGGGCCAUCGCUCAUUGGAUAAAAGGUACGCCGGGGAUAACAGGCUGAUCGCAUCCAAGAGUUCACAUCGACGAUGCGGUUUGGCACCUCGAUGUCGGCUCAUCACAUCCUGGGGCUGAAGCAGGUCCCAAGGGUACGGCUGUUCGCCGUUUAAAGUGGUACGCGAGCUGGGUUUAAAACGUCGUGAGACAGUUUGGUCCCUAUCUUCUGUGGGCGUAGGAGAAUUGAGAGGGUUUGUCCCUAGUACGAGAGGACCGGGAUGAACGCACCACUGGUGGAUCAGUUGUCGCGCCAGCGGCAUAGCUGAGUAGCUAUGUGCGGAAUGGAUAACCGCUGAAAGCAUCUAAGCGGGAAGCCAGCCUCGAGAUAAGUUCUCCCUGUCGCAAGACACUAAAGGGCCGAUGAAGACUACAUCGUUGAUAGGCCGGAGGUGGAAGCGCUGCGAAGCGUGGAGCUGACCGGUACUAAUAGCCCGUGCGC